This 22-nucleotide microRNA is filed under the name Gallus gallus (chicken). Its description in RNAcentral is "microRNA Ros-gga". Lineage: Eukaryota; Metazoa; Chordata; Aves; Galliformes; Phasianidae. The record is from RNAcentral.
GCGUGGACGAGGUCAGCAUUUU